CUGAUAACCGAAGCAUUUGCAGCUUGUGCUCUGCUCUGUGGGUGGUGCUCCAGCUGUCACUUUCCUCUGGUGCCACACAGUGAAAUGAGGGGACAGGAGAGCACGGACAGGCGAUCUUCAGGAGCUGAUAGCCAUCUGCAGUUGUCACACAUCUCAGCAGCACCUUGUCAGCAGGUAGGAGCUGGCUGAGAUCUGUAGCCUGCAGUCAUCCAGGACAUUCCCUCCUUGGAGACAAGCUGAUGAUGUCAGCCAGAAGUGAAGGGUUGUGUGGACCUGUUCUCCAAAUACUCCACCAGUGCAUGCCUUGGUGUCUCCACCAAGGAAGAGAGAACUCCACAGGCCACCCUGUACUCACUGUAAUGUUUCUACAAGAUGGAGUGGAAUUAAUCUCAUUGAACUCAGAAAAAUGAAAGUGGCAUCUAAUCUAAGCUAAUGUUUAGUCUCCCUGCAGUGAGGAGACUCCUCAAGAAGAGUCUUGCCCCUCCUCAAUCACCUCCAGAUGUGCCAGUCUUGUGCCAAGGAUGGCAAAAGAAGCAUGGGAAUAGCUGAAGCUGACACUCGCUUUCUCUUCAGCCAGAGCCAGAUGGAUUCCUGUCCUCACUUGAUAUCUCUACUGCAAUCCAUGAACUCCAACCUAAAGAAAAAAUACCCAAAGUAUAAGAAAUUCCUGCAGUAUGGCAGAACAGCCCCUCAACCAGGCAGGAAUGUCACACACCACCUGCAGCUCACCUGAAUGGUCAGCACAGUUGAAGGAAAACUUCUGCUGACUUUGCUCCCAGCAGCGUUCCAGCCCAUGUUGCCAGGUGGGAGAUGCCAAUGGGCAACAGCUUGUGUGAAACCUAGGUGCAUUUCUGAACCCGUCCCAGGCACGGCACACACACCAAGACACCCUGUAUUGCUAGCAGCAGUAGUAGGUUUGCGCAGAAAAAACAUAUUUGCAUUCCAUUCUGUUUGGAGUCUAAAUGGGACAUAACUUCAAAUUAACAACUAUCAAGCUGUAAUUCAACUCACAUGUGAGCAUUUCCCAUUAAGGGAGUGCAGCAAUUCCACCCAGGCUAGCCAGCCAGCCAAACGGAGUGAGCCUUGGUCCCAGAGCAUCAGAAGCAGCAAUGUUUCUCGCAGCAGUGAGUCUUGGGGCAGGGUGAUACACCACUGGUGGGUACCAAAAAGCAGAGCCCCUCUCCAGCCGUCAGCCCCUCCCCCUCCUGCCAAAUCCAGGCUGGAAUUGAGAGCGGAAAUGUUUGUGUGUAGCUCAUGAAGCUGGUUGGAAAAUUUUUGUCAAAACAGAUUUCCAUCAGAAAAUGACACCCUGUUGGCUUUGGCAAAUUUUUGUUCAGGAACAAAGUGGAGAGUGAAAAAAAAAUGUAAAUGUCAGCGUGCCCUUUUGACAUUUUCCCCAACGAAAAGGAUGGACUUGCUUGCUUCGAAAUGACUUUUCCUUGACAUUCAUUUUCUACAUUC
This is a long non-coding RNA of Gallus gallus (chicken), 1461 nucleotides long. The record is from Ensembl. Lineage: Eukaryota; Metazoa; Chordata; Aves; Galliformes; Phasianidae.